GACAGGCAGAGAGACACAGGCAGAGGGAGAAGUAGGCUCCAUGCAGGGAGACCGAUGUGGGACUUGAUCCCGUGUCUCCAGGAUCAUGCCUUGAGCUGAAGGCAGGUGCCAAACCUGCUGAGCCACCCAAAGAUGCCAGGAUGCUUUUUGUUGUUUGUUUUUUGUUUGUUUUACUUGUAGCAAGAAUUAUUAUCAAACUCCACUCAUUGGGCUAGAGACCCUUGUGGUUUUAGUGCAAGACUUGCCCCUCAUGCAGCACUUCACCUACGCUUGUGAGUUCCUCGGUCAGUCGGCAGCCUCAACGCCAGGCUUUAACAAUGUGCAGCCUGGGAUGGUUUUAAGUCUGUUUCUUUUUCCUGUUUCAAAGAUGGAUGUUGUAAUAUAUAUUUUUUCUCACUGCUGGGGGUGAAGUCCUCAUGGCCAACUGGGUAAUGGUAAUGCUGAGCAAUCCAAUUCUAACAUCACAUUGUAACAUCUUUAUUGAACCCAUCCUGGUACAGUCUGUUGCAGGUCAGGUUCUUGAACGCGUCGAUUGGAGUACGGGAUGAUAUUAUUCUCAGCAUCAACCGUUCUUGAGGGAAGGAAGAAAGCAGGGUAUGGCAGGAGGAGAAUCAGAGCUUCAAUGACAUCACCUUAAAGUUCUAGAUCAUAUAGUGAGCUCUGAAGCUAGAAUUACUCUUUGGAGUUCUCUGGCAAUUGGAAGAAGGGGCAAGGCCUUAUGGCCUCACAUUGGGCAGCUGCUCCCUGGAGGGAUGCAUUAACUCGGGCAUGACAGCCUUCUUCGGCAGAGGGAACACCCUGGAGAAGGUUCCUGAAGACAGCCUGCAGCAAUAUUCCCAGUUCUAAAUAAUAAGGCCUUUGGUCCUGAAGGGGAAUCUGUGAGAAGCAACUAAGGAUCCACAACAAUCAGCUUAGGACAUACCAUAAAAGGACAGUGGAAAUAGAUAAUAAAUGUAACUUGUACCAGUGUAGAAUCA
RNAcentral lists this long non-coding RNA (977 nucleotides) under Vulpes vulpes (red fox). Its description in RNAcentral is "lncRNA (ENSVVUG00000030283.1)". The record is from RNAcentral. Lineage: Eukaryota; Metazoa; Chordata; Mammalia; Carnivora; Canidae.